UGAUUGAUACUUAUUCACAUCCCCUUGAUACAUGUAUAACAAUUUCUGACUAAUAAAUGAUUUGCUGUCAGCCAUAAACUAGAAGUAUUUGCUUUCUAAAUUACAAGUUAAUGUUGGAGGAUUCAUCAUAAUACGUGGACAGUCAGCCUGGUGUGUUUGAAAAAUUAUACAUAUUGUACAAAUAAGCAAUAUUAGAUCAGUUUCUGUCGCCCUCCAUUUUAAGCUGGUCUAUAAUGCAUGUAGAGGAAUGUCUUAGAAAUAAGACCUCAUUAUUGCGUGAGUUGAAUGCCCAUUUGAUCACUCACACAGAGUAAUCUAUGUCCAUAGCCUUGUAAAAUCUUAUUCAUCCAUAAGGAAGAUUGAUGCACUCAUGAACUGUAAUUCUUGUGUAGACCAAGGCACCAUGUAUGAACACCUUUUAACAUUACAUGAAUAUUUUCUUAUCAGCAAUAUUAUUUUUUGGUCCAGACCCUCCAAGCUUGCUUGAUACCAUCCCUCUGGUACCUACAUUCUGAGUUCUGAUAGUUUUUUUGUUUGAUUUCUUAUUGAUGUUCAUAUAUGCUCUAUAAAAAGCUAAUCAUAUUGUUUCAUUUUUUAAGUCCAACCAUGACCUAGCUACCAAUGAAAACAGACUUUCAGCAAAAGAGAUGACAAUUCUAUGAUUUGUUUAAUUUUUGCAUGUUAGAUGCUUGACAUUCUUGCUUCUAGGAACCCCUCUGCUCCUCAUCUGCCUCGUGAUUGGGGCAUGAUUGCAGUAGAACUAGAUUCUGGCUGCUAGGUUUUUUGUGUGAAUUAUAGGACAU
Molecule: long non-coding RNA, 803 nt
Filed under: Elaeis guineensis (African oil palm)
Lineage: Eukaryota; Viridiplantae; Streptophyta; Magnoliopsida; Arecales; Arecaceae
Description: long non-coding RNA (EGUI_LNC034052)
Source: RNAcentral